CUUUGACAAGUACGUAUAUAAAGACGAAGGACGCAAAGCCCUCUUCAUCAGAACCAAUUCAGCUGAAGAGCGCAGAACAACUACUGAAACACAUUCCUUGAAAAAAACAAACCGACAUUUACUUCAUCAUGAACAAGGGAAUUAUUCUUAUGAUGUUUGUCUUCGUCAUCAUCUGCGUAACGACUACGAUGGCCGGAGUGCAGCCGUUCGCCAAGUUUGCUGCCGUUAACUACCAUCACGCUCGAGUCGUUCGUGAGGCUAGCCCACAAAGAUUCCCCGGAUGGCUUUUUGGUUAACUUGUUGGACAAGUACAUUAGCCUCUAUUUAUGCCGUUGGAAGAAAUAUCAACUUAUGCUAACCAGAUGAUAUGAAGACGUAUUUAAAACACCCCAUCGUUGAUCGUACCAGCGGUGUUCUUUCUCAAAUUUAUUUUUCACCUGUAACACUCGUAUCGUUUUUUUUUUGUAACAAAUAUACUUAUGUGCCAAGAA
Long non-coding RNA from Daphnia carinata, 491 nucleotides. RefSeq lists it as uncharacterized. The record is from RefSeq and is a predicted model, not a curated record. The transcript has 2 exons. NCBI's taxonomy places the organism in Eukaryota, Metazoa, Arthropoda, Branchiopoda, Diplostraca, Daphniidae.